Molecule: non-coding RNA, 45 nt
Filed under: Schistosoma mansoni
Lineage: Eukaryota; Metazoa; Platyhelminthes; Trematoda; Strigeidida; Schistosomatidae
Source: RNAcentral
GUCCAUCUGAAGAGUCCCAAGUGGGACGAAACGUGCUUCCUGAAU